RNAcentral lists this ribosomal RNA (46 nucleotides) under Phytophthora cryptogea. Its description in RNAcentral is "partial 18S ribosomal RNA". It matches the Rfam family "Eukaryotic small subunit ribosomal RNA", at positions 1786 to 1831 of the family's 1831-position model. Lineage: Eukaryota; Oomycota; Peronosporomycetes; Peronosporales; Peronosporaceae. RNAcentral also lists the same sequence under 1 other name. The record is from RNAcentral.
AAAUCGUAACAAGGUUUCCGUAGGUGAACCUGCGGAAGGAUCAUUA